CAGCAGCCGCGGUAAUACGGAGGGUGCAAACGUUAAUCGGAAUUACUGGGCGUAAAGCGCACGUAGGCGGAUAGUCAAGUGGGACGUGAAAGCCCCCGGCUCAACCGGGGAAUUGCGUUUCAAACUGGCUGUCUAGAGUGUAGUAGAGGAAAGUGGAAUUUGCUGUGUAGCGGUGAAAUGCGUAGAUAUGGCAAGGAACAUCAGUGGCGAAGGCGGCUUUCUGGACUAACACUGACGCUGAGGUGCGAAAGCGUGGGUAGCGAACAGGAUUAGAUACCCUGGUAGUCCACGCCGUAAACGAUGAGAACUAGCCGUAGGGUCCCUCGGGAUUAUGUGGCGCAGCUAACGCGAUAAGUUCUCCGCCUGGGGACUACGACCGCAAGGUUAAAACUCAAAUGAAUUGACGGGAGCCCGCACAAGCGGUGGAGCAUGUUGUUUAAUUCGAUGCAACGCGAAGAACCUUACCACCUCUUGACAUCCACGGAAUCCCUCAGAGAUGAGGGAGUGCUUUUAGAACCGUGAGACAGGUGUUGCAUGGCUGUCGUCAGCUCGUGUCGUGAGAUGUUGGGUUAAGUCCCGUAACGAGCGCAACCCUUGUCCUUAUUUGCCAGCGGAUCAUGCCGGGAACACUAAGGAGACUGCCGGUGAUAAACCGGAGGAAGGCGGGGAUGAGGUCAAGUCAUCAUGGCCCUUACGAGGUGGGCUACAAACAUGCUACAAUGGAGGGUACAAAGGGUAGCGAGCCCGUGAGGGUGAGCCAAUCUCAAAAAACCCUUCGUAGUCCGGAUAGGAGUCUGCAACUCGACUCCUUGAAGUCGGAAUCGCUAGUAAUCGCGAAUCAGAACGUCGCGGUGAAUACGUUCCCGGGCUUUGUACACACCGCCCGU
RNAcentral lists this ribosomal RNA (887 nucleotides) under uncultured marine bacterium. RNAcentral's name for it is "bacterial SSU rRNA". It matches the Rfam family "Bacterial small subunit ribosomal RNA", at positions 509 to 1397 of the family's 1533-position model. The record is from RNAcentral.